AUGAAUUCCUCCUCUGCACCGGGUCCGGAUGGCCUUCCUGUGAGAUUCUUCCAGGCCUUCUGGAACGUGAUUAAACCGGAGGUCAUGGCUAUCUUCGAUGAGUUCUACGUUGGCUCCAUUGACCUCGGGCGACUCAACUACGGGAUUAUCUCGCUCAUCCCGAAGGUUGCCGGGGCGUCUGACAUUCGUCAAUUUCGGCCGAUUACGGUCAUCAACAUCAUCUUCGGGAUCCUGGCUAAAGGGUACGCCAAUAGGGUGACCUUGCUGGCCGACCGUGUCACGCACCCCAACUAGACGGCUUUCAUUAAGGGCCGGUACAUCCUGGAUGGGGUCCUAGUCCUUCAUGAAGUCCUCCAUGAGGUCCGCUCCAAAAACCUCAAGGCGGUCUUCCUGAAGAUUGACUUUCAUAAAGCCUAUGAUACGGUUAGCUGGUCCUUCCUUAGGGAGGUCCUUCUUCGGAAGGGCUUUGACGACCGGUGGGUUACUCGUGUCAUGCAAAUGGUCACGUGCGGUCGUACGGCCGUGAACAUCAACGGCGAGAUUGGCCCCUUCUUCCCUACCCUAUGUGGGGUUAGACAAGGCGAUCCCUUCUCCCCGUUCUUGUUCAAUAUGGUCGUAGACGCGCUAGCAUCCAUCCUUGAUAAGGCGAAAGCCGCGGGCCAUAUUCGUGGGAUCACUCCCCACCUCGCCGGGGGCUCUGGGAUAUCCAUUCUCCAGUAUGCCGACGACACUAUCAUUAUGGUUGAAGGCUUGAAGAACGAUAGCACCAACCUCAAGUUCCUUCUCCUCUGCUUCCAGCAGAUGUCGGGUCUCAAGAUCAAUUUUGACAAGAGCGAUGUGAUGGUGAUGGUAUACCCCCCUGCCGAGUCUUUGGCCAUCGCCAACAGGCUUAAUUGCCGCAUGGGCACUUUUCCCACUACUUACUUGGGAACUUAA
This 936-nucleotide ribosomal RNA is filed under the name Triticum aestivum (bread wheat). RNAcentral's name for it is "partial small subunit ribosomal RNA". Lineage: Eukaryota; Viridiplantae; Streptophyta; Magnoliopsida; Poales; Poaceae. The record is from RNAcentral.